RNAcentral lists this ribosomal RNA (445 nucleotides) under uncultured marine bacterium. Its description in RNAcentral is "bacterial SSU rRNA". It matches the Rfam family "Bacterial small subunit ribosomal RNA", at positions 360 to 804 of the family's 1533-position model. The record is from RNAcentral.
AAUAUUGGUCAAUGGGAGCAAUCCUGAACCAGCAAUGCCGCGUGUGGGAUGACAGGGCUCAGCCUUGUAAACCACUGUCGGAUGGGACGAGAAGGUUCUUUUAGGACCCGGGACGGUACCAUCAAAGGAAGGGUCGGCUAACUACGUGCCAGCAGCCGCGGUAAUACGUAGGACCCGAGCGUUGUCCGGAUUUACUGGGUAUAAAGGGUGCGCAGGCGGCCGUGUGCGUCAGAAGUGAAAUAUCCGGGCUUAACCCGGAGGGUGCUUUUGAUACGGCAUGGCUUGAGUCCGAGAGAGGAUGAUGGAAUUCCUGGUGUAGCGGUGGAAUGCGUAGAUAUCAGGAGGAACACCGGUGGCGAAGGCGGUCAUCUGGCUCGGAACUGACGCUCAGGCACGAAAGCGUGGGGAUCAAACAGGAUUAGAUACCCUGGUAGUCCACGCCCUA